GAAGCAAAAUACAAUAAGUGGGAGAAGGAACCCGCACCACAUGGCUGGGAUGGUCAUCUCAUCUCGUGACUUUAUUCGUUUCAUUGGUGUCUAAGGUAGUGGAACCAGAGCAGUAUGCCUCUGAUAUGGCUUAGAGGGAGCAUUGGCCGCCAGAUCAUGCCAGGCGGCAUGCUUUUCUGAUGGGAGUAUGUGCUGAACAAUACUAAUUAGUUGUGUUAGGGCAUACAUCCAUUGGUCAGGAUUCUUGUCUGUCAUGGUUGAGCACACGAUCCAGAUAAGCACCAAGUUGAUCGAUAGCUCACACGUGAUGACGAGAAGGUGAAAAGGAAGGUUAGGAAAUCCAAACCCAAGAAACUCAUUGUACAGCAACAAGCCUCAGAAAAAUGGUAGUGAGCUAUCCGUGGUCUUGU
This is a long non-coding RNA of Lolium rigidum, 410 nucleotides long. RefSeq lists it as uncharacterized. The transcript is spliced from 3 exons. The record is from RefSeq and is a predicted model, not a curated record. Lineage: Eukaryota; Viridiplantae; Streptophyta; Magnoliopsida; Poales; Poaceae.